GGGGCUGUAGCUCAGCUGGCAGAGCGCCGCCAUGGCAUGGCGGAGGUCAGGGGUUCGAUUCCCCUCAGCUCCA
RNAcentral lists this transfer RNA (73 nucleotides) under Solirubrobacterales bacterium. Its description in RNAcentral is "tRNA-Ala". It matches the Rfam family "tRNA". Rfam says of the family: Transfer RNA (tRNA) molecules are approximately 80 nucleotides in length. RNAcentral also lists the same sequence under 2 other names. The record is from RNAcentral. Lineage: Bacteria; Bacillati; Actinomycetota; Thermoleophilia; Solirubrobacterales.